GAGGGUACAGCUCAGUGGUAGAGUGCCUGCUUAGCAUGCAGGAAGUCCUGGAUUCAGUCUAAGUACCUCCA
RNAcentral lists this transfer RNA (71 nucleotides) under Camelus bactrianus (Bactrian camel). It matches the Rfam family "tRNA". Rfam says of the family: Transfer RNA (tRNA) molecules are approximately 80 nucleotides in length. Their secondary structure includes four short double-helical elements and three loops (D, anti-codon, and T loops). Further hydrogen bonds mediate the characteristic L-shaped molecular structure. tRNAs have two regions of fundamental functional importance: the anti-codon, which is responsible for specific mRNA codon recognition, and the 3' end, to which the tRNAs corresponding amino acid is attached (by aminoacyl-tRNA synthetases). tRNAs cope with the degeneracy of the genetic code in two manners: having more than one tRNA (with a specific anti-codon) for a particular amino acid; and 'wobble' base-pairing, i.e. permitting non-standard base-pairing at the 3rd anti-codon position. Lineage: Eukaryota; Metazoa; Chordata; Mammalia; Artiodactyla; Camelidae. The record is from Rfam by way of RNAcentral. RNAcentral also lists the same sequence under 1 other name.